Molecule: ribosomal RNA, 279 nt
Filed under: uncultured bacterium
Lineage: Bacteria
Description: partial 16S ribosomal RNA
Rfam family: Bacterial small subunit ribosomal RNA
Source: RNAcentral
UGCCAGCAGCCGCGGUAAUACGGAGGGUGCAAGCGUUGUUCGGAAUCACUGGGCGUAAAGAGUUCGUAGGCGGACUUGUUAGUAUGGGGUUAAAGACCGGGGCCCAACCUCGGGACUGCUCUGUAAACGGCAAGUCUGGAGUAUGGAAGAGGGAAGCGGAAUUCCCGGUGUAGAGGUGAAAUUCGUAGAUAUCGGGAGGAACACCAGAGGCGAAGGCGGCUUCCUGGACCAGUACUGACGCUAAAGAACGAAAGCGUGGGGAGCAAACAGGAUUAGAUA